CGGCGUAAGCGUGGUUAAGGAAUAAUAAACACUAAAGCUGAACGCUUACUAAGCUGUUAUACGCUCCCGAAAGUAAGAAACCCAUCUACGAAGGUGGCUUUACCUUGCCUGAACCCACGAAAGCUAAGGCA
This 131-nucleotide ribosomal RNA is filed under the name Epinephelus aeneus (white grouper). Its description in RNAcentral is "partial small subunit ribosomal RNA". Lineage: Eukaryota; Metazoa; Chordata; Actinopteri; Perciformes; Serranidae. The record is from RNAcentral.